AAAAGAUAAAAGCAUGCAUGUAUAAGUAUAAACGACUUGAUCGUGAAACCGCGAACGGCUCAUUAUAACAGCUAUAAUUUACUUGAUCUUGACAAUUUACUUGGAUAACUGUGGUAAUUCUAGAGCUAAUACAUGCACCAAAGCUCCGACCGUAAGGGAAGAGCGCAUUUAUUAGAAGAAAACCAAACGGCUUCGGCCGUUCAAUGUUGACUCAGAAUAACUAAGCUGAUCGCAUGGUCUUGUACCGGCGACGUGUCUUUCAAGUAUCUGCCUUAUCAACUUUCGAUGGUAGUGUAUCUGACUACCAUGGUGGUGACGGGUAACGGAGGAUAAGGGUUCGACUCCGGAGAAGGGGCCUGAGAAAUGGCCACUACGUCUAAGGAUGGCAGCAGGCGCGCAAAUUACCCACUCUCAGAACGAGGAGGUAGUGACGAGAAAUAACAAGACCGUUCUCUUUAGAGGCCGGUCAUUGGAAUGGGUACAAUUUAAACCCUUUAACGAGUAUCUAUGAGAGGGCAAGUCUGGUGCCAGCAGCCGCGGUAAUUCCAGCUCUCAAAAUGCAUAGAAUUAUUGCUGCGGUUAAAAAGCUCGUAGUUGGAUCUGUGCUGGCGAGCCGGUCAAUCUUCGGAUUCGUACUGGUUCCGCUGGCUUUCCUGUUGUAUUUGGCCCCGUGUCCUUCAUUGGGUGCAGGUGUCCAGUGCAACAAGUUUACUUUGAACAAAUCAGAGUGCUUCAAACAGGCGUUUCGCUUGAAUGUUCGUGCAUGGAAUAAUAGAAGAGGAUUUCGGUUCUAUUUUAUUGGUUUUAUAGACUGAGAUAAUGGUUAACAGAGACUAACGGGGGCAUUAGUAUUGUUACGUGAGAGGUGAAAUUCUUGGACCGUAGCAAGACUAACUACAGCGAAAGCAUGNCCCCAAGAAUGG
Molecule: ribosomal RNA, 923 nt
Filed under: Hirschmanniella mucronata
Lineage: Eukaryota; Metazoa; Nematoda; Chromadorea; Rhabditida; Pratylenchidae
Description: SSU rRNA
Rfam family: Eukaryotic small subunit ribosomal RNA
Source: RNAcentral